RNA transcript from Amyelois transitella, 1761 nucleotides. RefSeq lists it as uncharacterized. The record is from RefSeq and is a predicted model, not a curated record. Lineage: Eukaryota; Metazoa; Arthropoda; Insecta; Lepidoptera; Pyralidae. The annotation marks the transcript as partial. The transcript has 5 exons.
ACGAACAUAUCGCUACCUUCAAUAAUCUUAAUAUAUUAUAUCGAAUACUAGUUAAUAUUCAAUCAAAUACUUAUAGAAGAUAUACCUUUUUCAACAAAAGUUAAAAUUAAACCUGUACGAAACAGUACAAGGAGUAAAAGGAUAAUCAUUGUCAAGCCGAUGAAGCAUGUCCCGUUAAAUGAUAUAUACCCUGAUAAUACUGAUGAAGACGUAGAUUCAUUUGAUUAUACCAAAUGUAAACCGUUGAACGAAAACGAACAAAUUUUGCUUAGAUCGGAAUUCGUCACUGUAAAAUGUUUUCAACACGACGCGACUACGACUUAUGUUAUAUAUAAAGAUGCGUAUAUAUUUGUCAAGAAGAAAAAUGUAACUUCACACCCGAUCGUCAAUAACUGCAAAGAGAGAUAUAAUGUUCUAGUUAUUGGAAUGGACUCGCUCUCCCUUUCACGAUUCGAACAAACCAUGCCACGAACUACAAAGUUUUUUAAAGAUAAUUAUUGGCUAGGAUACCGCGCUUUUAACAAGAUCGAGGUAGACGCUUUUCCUAAUUUAAUAGCCACUCUUACUGGGCUAGAUAUGACAGGUUUCUCUGAAAAAUGUGGGCAAGAUAUGAUGAAGUGCAACAAGCAAUUUAUAUGGAGUAAAUUCAAAGAAAUUGGUUACGUGACAGCCUACGCAGAAGACUACAUAUCCUUACCAGAAAUGUUUAAUAACGGCUAUGAAUUUCCCAAAAAUCCAACUGAUCAUUAUCCGAGAGCUUUAUUUGUAAAUGAAGAGCACAUUGUAAACCACUCAUUGGUGUGCACUGGACGACAAAGUUCAGGACACCAGUUACUAAAUUACGCGUUAGAUUUUGCUCUUACUUACAGAAGUGAUUCUUUCUUUGGUCUUUUCUGGAUACACUCUUUCAGCCAUAACCUUAAAAGUCCCUUAAUCGAAGUUGAUAAACAUGUUGAGAACUUUUUCAAUCAAUUGAGUUAUACGGGCGUGUCAAGAAACACCUUUAUCAUAUUGAUGAGUGCUCACGGGAUACUCGUGGGCGACUCUCGGUUAAACCCAGAUUCCUUUUAUGAUGAGCGAAUGCCAGCCCUUUUCUUAUUACCUGCAUCGACAUUCAAAAACGUUUACCUCGAUAUGUUCAAAUCUUUGGUAAUUAAUCAGGGUAGAUUAAUUACUCCUUUUGAUCUUCAUAAAACUUUAAUGACGAUCAAACAGCUAUCAAGUUGUAGUAAUUCCACAGUCAUUUCUGGAACUUGCACAAAGUGUCAGAGCUUAACUGAAACAAUGGACAACAAUCGAACUUGUAAUGAUGCAGCGAUUCAUGAAAAAUGGUGUACUUGUCGUAAGAUGUAUCCCAUUGAUACGCAUAACGAUUUCGGCGUGAAGAGCGUUUUGCACGUCGUCUCGUACUUGCAAUCUAUCAUAAAAUCUAUAAAGACUCGACAAUGUUGGUCGUGCUCCAGGCUAUCUUUGAAGAAGAUCAUAAGGAUGCAUUUUUACUACGAUCAAACUAAAAUUAAUUUGUUUUAUGUGGUUGCAUUUUCUAUGACACCUGGCGAUAUUAUUUAUGAGGCGACUGUAGCGCAGAAAAAAUCUGAAUUUCAUGUGGUGGAUCCCGUCAGCCUUCUAUCUGAUAUAAAACAUAUCGGUAAAGCCCCGAUGAUGACUGGCUUCUACAUAACCUUGGCAAAUUUAAAUGGCGUUAUCUUGUCUCGACGCCAGAAAAAGAUGUUCUCAGCAGUAAGUUUCCCUCAGUCCUGA